Molecule: ribosomal RNA, 464 nt
Filed under: uncultured bacterium
Lineage: Bacteria
Description: bacterial SSU rRNA
Rfam family: Bacterial small subunit ribosomal RNA
Source: RNAcentral
GGGCCCGCACAAGCGGCGGAGCAUGCGGAUUAAUUCGAUGCAACGCGAAGAACCUUACCUGGGUUUGACAUAUGCCGGUAGCAGCCAGAGAUGGUUGUGCCUUUUGGGCCGGUUUACAGGUGGUGCAUGGCUGUCGUCAGCUCGUGUCGUGAGAUGUUGGGUUAAGUCCCGCAACGAGCGCAACCCUUGUCCUAUGUUGCCAGCGGUUCGGCCGGGAACUCAUAGGAGACUGCCGGGGUCAACUCGGAGGAAGGUGGGGAUGACGUCAAGUCAUCAUGCCCCUUAUGUCCAGGGCUUCACGCAUGCUACAAUGGCUGGUACAGAGGGUUGCGAUGCCGUGAGGUGGAGCGAAUCCCUUAAAGCCAGUCUCAGUUCGGAUUGGGGUCUGCAACUCGACCCCAUGAAGUCGGAGUCGCUAGUAAUCGCAGAUCAGCAUUGCUGCGGUGAAUACGUUCCCGGGCCUU